UGUCCAGUAGCGCCUUAGAGACCAACUAAGUUUGUUCUGGGUAUAAGCUUUUGUGUGCAUGCAUAUACCCAGAACAAACUUAGUUGGUCUCUAAGGUACUACUGGAGA
Podarcis lilfordi (Lilford's wall lizard) is the source of this 108-nucleotide non-coding RNA. The record is from the annotation of a GenBank genome assembly. Lineage: Eukaryota; Metazoa; Chordata; Lepidosauria; Squamata; Lacertidae.